This 387-nucleotide ribosomal RNA is filed under the name Neoxanthias michelae. Its description in RNAcentral is "partial 12S ribosomal RNA". The record is from RNAcentral. Lineage: Eukaryota; Metazoa; Arthropoda; Malacostraca; Decapoda; Xanthidae.
UUAGAUACCCUAUUAUACUAAUAAAAGUCUGAAUUAUUAAUAGGUAUAUUCUUUAAAUUUGAAGAAUUUGGCGGUGAUUUAAUCUUAUUAGAGGAACCUGUUUUUGAAUCGAUACACCACGUUAUAUCUUACUCAUUUUAUUUAGUUUAUAUACCGUCAUUGUUAGAUGAUUUUUAAAGAGUGUAAUCAUUAAAAUUUAUGAAGAGAAAUGUUAAUAAAUUAAAUUAGAUCAAGGUGUAGCUUAUAAAUGAGUUAAAAUGGGUUACAAUAAAAUUUAUUUAUAUGGAUUAAUAUGGGAAGGAAAUAUUAUAAAGGAGGAUUUAAUUGUAAUACAAGUUAAAUGAACUUGAAAGAUAUUGGCUCUAAAUUAUGUACAUAUCGCCCGUC